GUGAAGUUUCCCUGCAUCCUGUGAGUUUCUUCUGACUCACCUGAGCCUGGUCAGGAGGAGUGCAGCAGCCAAGAUCAUUCCAUCACCCACUUUAAGAGAGGAUAGACCCGUAGCAUCACCUUUCCAGGCAUAGUAGCAGCAAGCGGCCAGACACUGUAAAGCGUGCGUAAGGAGACCAGAUAACAAGCUGUCAGUGGAAGAAUGAAGAGAUAUCUCCUGCACAGGAGGCCAAGCCGGAUACUCCCUACUUGGCGGUCUGAUAAGCAUUGUGGACAUCUUGGAUGGUGGAAAAGGAACCUGGGAACUGAUGGAUCUGCAGCUGAGAAAAUGAAAAGCAGGUUACCAGGU
Bufo gargarizans (Asiatic toad) is the source of this 348-nucleotide long non-coding RNA. RefSeq lists it as uncharacterized. The transcript is spliced from 3 exons. The record is from RefSeq and is a predicted model, not a curated record. NCBI's taxonomy places the organism in Eukaryota, Metazoa, Chordata, Amphibia, Anura, Bufonidae.